GACGAACGCUGGCGGCGUGCUUAACACAUGCAAGUCGAACGGAAAGGCCCUGCUUUUGUGGGGUGCUCGAGUGGCGAACGGGUGAGUAACACGUGAGUAACCUGCCCUUGACUUUGGGAUAACUUCAGGAAACUGGGGCUAAUACCGGAUAGGAGCUCCUGCUGCAUGGUGGGGGUUGGAAAGUUUCGGCGGUUGGGGAUGGACUCGCGGCUUAUCAGCUUGUUGGUGGGGUAGUGGCUUACCAAGGCUUUGACGGGUAGCCGGCCUGAGGGGGUGACCGGCACCUUUGGGACGGGGCUCCGGCCGGGCCCCCUCCGGGGGGAGGCGGGGGGGAUUUUUGAAGAGUGGGCGGAGCCCGGAUCCAGCAACCCCGCGUGGGGGAUGAGGGCUUUCGGUUUUUAACCCCCUUUCGCCGGGGACGAGGGGGGGGGGAGGUAAAGGGGUAAAGAAGCCCCGGCUAACUAGGUC
This 468-nucleotide ribosomal RNA is filed under the name uncultured bacterium. RNAcentral describes it as "partial 16S ribosomal RNA". It matches the Rfam family "Bacterial small subunit ribosomal RNA", at positions 28 to 507 of the family's 1533-position model. The record is from RNAcentral.